RNAcentral lists this ribosomal RNA (153 nucleotides) under uncultured Chloroflexota bacterium. RNAcentral's name for it is "uncultured Chloroflexi bacterium partial 16S ribosomal RNA". It matches the Rfam family "Bacterial small subunit ribosomal RNA", at positions 335 to 504 of the family's 1533-position model. The record is from RNAcentral. Lineage: Bacteria; Bacillati; Chloroflexota.
ACUCCUACGGGAGGCAGCAGUUAGGAAUUUUGNGCAAUGGGCGAAAGCCUGACCCAGCAACNCCGCGUGUGGGAUGAAGGCCCUCGGGUUGUAAACCNCUUUUAUCGGGGAAGAAUACUGACGGUACCCGUUGAAUAAGCCCCGGCUAACUCC